GCACUGAUGGUCUAACGGAAAGACGCCUCCGUCGUAACGAGGCAAUGCGGGUUCGAUUCCGGCUCGGUGCU
This 71-nucleotide transfer RNA is filed under the name Roseiconus nitratireducens. It matches the Rfam family "tRNA". From Rfam's summary of the family: Transfer RNA (tRNA) molecules are approximately 80 nucleotides in length. Their secondary structure includes four short double-helical elements and three loops (D, anti-codon, and T loops). Further hydrogen bonds mediate the characteristic L-shaped molecular structure. tRNAs have two regions of fundamental functional importance: the anti-codon, which is responsible for specific mRNA codon recognition, and the 3' end, to which the tRNAs corresponding amino acid is attached (by aminoacyl-tRNA synthetases). tRNAs cope with the degeneracy of the genetic code in two manners: having more than one tRNA (with a specific anti-codon) for a particular amino acid; and 'wobble' base-pairing, i.e. permitting non-standard base-pairing at the 3rd anti-codon position. Lineage: Bacteria; Pseudomonadati; Planctomycetota; Planctomycetia; Pirellulales; Pirellulaceae. The record is from Rfam by way of RNAcentral.